Molecule: ribosomal RNA, 428 nt
Filed under: uncultured bacterium
Lineage: Bacteria
Description: bacterial SSU rRNA
Rfam family: Bacterial small subunit ribosomal RNA
Source: RNAcentral
GUAGGGAAUAUUGCACAAUGGAGGAAACUCUGAUGCAGCGACGCCGCGUGAGUGAUGAAGGCCUUCGGGUCGUAAAGCUCUGUCGUAUGGGACUAACACAAUGAAGGUACCAUGCAAGAAAGGAUCGGCUAACUUCGUGCCAGCAGCCGCGGUAAGACGAGGGAUCCUAGCGUUGUUCGGAAUUAUUGGGCGUAAAGCGGGUGUAGGCGGAUUUAUAAGUCAGGUGUGAAAUCCCAGGGCUCAACCCUGGAAGUGCACUUGAUACUGUAAGUCUUGAGUGUGGUAGAGGCUAUUAGAAUUCUUGGUGUAGUGGUGAAAUACGUAGAUAUCAAGAGGAAUACCGGAGGCGAAGGCGGAUAGCUGGGCCAACACUGACGCUGAGACCCGAAAGCGUGGGGAUCAAACAGGAUUAGAAACCCGGGUAGUCC